AAGACCUUGCGCUUUUGGAGCGGCCGAUGCCUGAUUAGCUUGUUGGUAAGGUAAAAGCUUACCAAGGCUUCGAUCAGUAGCUGGUCUGAGAGGACGACCAGCCACACUGGGACUGAGACACGGCCCAGACUCCUACGGGAGGCAGCAGUGGGGAAUUUUGGACAAUGGGGGCAACCCUGAUCCAGCCAUGCCGCGUGAGUGAAGAAGGCCUUCGGGUCGUAAAGCUCUUUCAGCCGGAACGAAACGGUUACGGUUAACACCCGUGACUACUGACGGUACCGGAAGAAGAAGCACCGGCUAACUACGUGCCAGCAGCCGCGGUAAUACGUAGGGUGCGAGCGUUAAUCGGAAUUACUGGGCGUAAAGCGUGCGCAGGUGGUUUUGUAAGUCAGAUGUGAAAGCCCCGGGCUCAACCUGGGAACU
RNAcentral lists this ribosomal RNA (423 nucleotides) under uncultured bacterium. RNAcentral's name for it is "bacterial SSU rRNA". It matches the Rfam family "Bacterial small subunit ribosomal RNA", at positions 207 to 622 of the family's 1533-position model. The record is from RNAcentral.